GGGGCUCAGAAACCCCUACAGGAAAACACCAUCUCCACCAAGCCCCUCAUUCAUAAAACACACACACACACACACACCACACACACACACACCACACACACACACACACACACACCAGGGAGAAGAAGACUACAGAACACACACAGAAUCCACAGUCACUCCUCCCAAUAACUCAUCAAAAUGAGUACCAUUACCUCUUUUUACAGAGCAGUAAACUGAGGCUUGGGAAACGUAAUUUCUCCAACCCACGCAGUAACUAACAAAGCCACAGUUUGAUUAAGCUUUCUCAGACUACAGAAACCAUGUUGCCUCCCCACGAUAAAGGAAAAAAAAAAAAAAUAAGUGCACACAACUGUUCUGGCCUCCGUAGCCCACACCCCUCUCAUUUCACUACUUAAUAUUCAAAUGCAGAGAAUUUCCGCACUGGAGAAUCAAAAGCCCAGAGAUUUUCCCUAGAAGGCCUCAGAGCUUGAUUUUUCACAAAUGGCCCCAAGGAUGGAAAAAGUCUUCCAAAUUGAGACUGGCAAGAGAGCGGGACCCAUUUUGUCUGAUUUUUCUUCUCUCCUUUCUUGGCACUAGUAGGCUCAGCUCACGCCAAUGGAAAAUUCCCAAGUGCCAAGCAGUUCUCAAAUAAUCUGCACGCAAAACAAAACAAAACCAAAAAAAAAAAAAAGCCUUUCAACAGAGAUAGCUCAUGAGGGGUUAAGCCGAGGCUCCAGCCAAAACAUAGAUUUUUUUCAGAUUCUUGACAUCUUUUUCAUGUUGAUCAGGAGGUUUGUGCCCAGCCACAGCCUAUGAUGGCCUCAGUCUGUCACUGAGACCAGUACUGGGUCAGACCAGAGCCUGCCUUUGGACUCAAGAGGGUCCCAGGUCCAGAUAGUUUGACCUCUACCAGGCCUGGGCCUGGAAAUUCCGUGUGGGAAAGGACAGGGGCUGCCUGGGAGGGUUGAGGAAGAAGGGUCUGUGCUGGCUUGGACUCAAGGACGACAGAUAGAUGGACAGAGGUGGAAUCCGGAGAGGGUGAGAAAGAAGGAGCGAGAUACUGACUGUCGAGGAGUCCCUAUAUAUAACCUAGAAGACAAAAUCUGGUAUAGAAUGCUCUAUUCAUAAGACAAAAGAUGUAUUAAUCCUAUCUCGUGCAAUCAUAUUAACAACAACAUUUGUAUAUAUUCAUUUAGACAGUAUUUAUUAAGCACCUAAGCAUCAGGCAAGAAUUUGACAAUGAGCAGAGCAGCCUAGGUGCCUACUGGCAGAGAGCUUUCAUCCUUACCAUGGAGACAUGCCGUAAAAAUGACAGUGACGUAGUGAACUUCAGUGCUAUUUAAGGGACGAUGGGAGCACAUAAGACAGGGAAAUCUGAUGUUUAUUUGGAGCUGACGUUUUUGCAAAACAUGCUCCCCCACUGCAGUUCUUAAUCUUCUAAAAAAAAAAAAAAAAA
Molecule: long non-coding RNA, 1438 nt
Filed under: Macaca fascicularis (crab-eating macaque)
Lineage: Eukaryota; Metazoa; Chordata; Mammalia; Primates; Cercopithecidae
Description: lncRNA (ENSMFAG00000050420.1)
Source: RNAcentral